ACAAGUCGGAGGGAAGGUGGGGAUGACGUCAAAUCAUCAUGCCCCUUAUGACCUGGGCUACACACGUGCUACAAUGGGCGGUACAAAGGGCUGCGAACCCGCGAGGGGGAGCGAAUCCCAAAAAGCCGCUCUCAGUUCGGAUUGCAGGCUGCAACUCGCCUGCAUGAAGCCGGAAUCGCUAGUAAUCGCGGAUCAGCAUGCCGCGGUGAAUACGUUCCCGGGCCUU
This 226-nucleotide ribosomal RNA is filed under the name uncultured Geobacillus sp. RNAcentral describes it as "partial 16S ribosomal RNA". It matches the Rfam family "Bacterial small subunit ribosomal RNA", at positions 1158 to 1382 of the family's 1533-position model. Lineage: Bacteria; Bacillati; Bacillota; Bacilli; Caryophanales; Anoxybacillaceae. The record is from RNAcentral.